RNAcentral lists this ribosomal RNA (410 nucleotides) under uncultured bacterium. RNAcentral describes it as "bacterial SSU rRNA". It matches the Rfam family "Bacterial small subunit ribosomal RNA", at positions 107 to 507 of the family's 1533-position model. The record is from RNAcentral.
UGAGUAAUAUAUCGGAACGUCGCCCAGUCGGUGGGGGAUAACGUAGCGAAAGUUACGCUAAUACCGCAUACGAUCUACGGAUGAAAGCGGGGGACUCGCAAGAGCCUCGCGCGAUUGGAGCGGCCGAUAUCAGAUUAGGUAGUUGGUGGGGUAAAGGCUCACCAAGCCAACGAUCUGUAGCUGGUCUGAGAGGACGACCAGCCACACUGGGACUGNGAAACACGGCCCAGACUCCUACGGGAGGCAGCAGUGGGGAAUUUUGGACAAUGGGCGCAAGCCUGAUCCAGCAAUGCCGCGUGCAGGAUGAAGGCCUUCGGGUUGUAAACUGCUUUUGUACGGAACGAAACGGUGAGCUCUAAUACAGUUUGCUAAUGACGGUACCGUAAGAAUAAGCACCGGCUAACUACGUG